GGGUAGCUCAGUUGGUAGAGCAGCGGACUGAAAAUCCGCGUGUCGGUGGUUCGAAUCCGCCCCC
This 64-nucleotide transfer RNA is filed under the name marine eukaryotic metagenome. It matches the Rfam family "tRNA", at positions 5 to 66 of the family's 71-position model. Rfam says of the family: Transfer RNA (tRNA) molecules are approximately 80 nucleotides in length. Their secondary structure includes four short double-helical elements and three loops (D, anti-codon, and T loops). Further hydrogen bonds mediate the characteristic L-shaped molecular structure. tRNAs have two regions of fundamental functional importance: the anti-codon, which is responsible for specific mRNA codon recognition, and the 3' end, to which the tRNAs corresponding amino acid is attached (by aminoacyl-tRNA synthetases). tRNAs cope with the degeneracy of the genetic code in two manners: having more than one tRNA (with a specific anti-codon) for a particular amino acid; and 'wobble' base-pairing, i.e. permitting non-standard base-pairing at the 3rd anti-codon position. The record is from RNAcentral.